UACAGCCACAUCACAUUGAAAACACCAGUUCCCAUACAAUCACCAAAGUUAAGCAACAUUAAGCCUUGUCAGUACCUUAAUGGGUGUCUGCUUGAAAAUACCAGGUACUGUAAG
Non-coding RNA from Acanthosepion pharaonis, 114 nucleotides. Lineage: Eukaryota; Metazoa; Mollusca; Cephalopoda; Sepiida; Sepiidae. The record is from the annotation of a GenBank genome assembly.